RNAcentral lists this ribosomal RNA (119 nucleotides) under Podarcis lilfordi (Lilford's wall lizard). Lineage: Eukaryota; Metazoa; Chordata; Lepidosauria; Squamata; Lacertidae. The record is from RNAcentral.
GGUUACGGCCAUACUACCCUGAACACACCCAAUCUCAUCUGAUUUUGGAAGCUAAGCAGGGUCAGACCUAGUUAGUACUUGGAUGGGAGACCCCAUGGGAAUACCAGGUGCCGUAGGUU